GACGAACGCUGGCGGCGUGCUUAACACAUGCAAGUCGAACGGAAAGGCCCUGCUUGCCGGGUACUCGAGUGGCGAACGGGUGAGUAACACGUGGGUGAUCUGCCCUGCACUUCGGGAUAAGCCUGGGAAACUGGGUCUAAUACCGGAUAGGAGCCAUUUUUAGUGUGAUGGUUGGAAAGUUUUUUCGGUGUAGGAUGGGCUGGCGGCCUACCACCUUGUUGGUGGGUGAAUGGCUGACCAAGGCGGCGACGGGUGGCCGGCCUGAGAGGGUGGACGGCCACAUUGGGACUGAGAUACGGCCCAGACUCCUACGGGAGGCAGCAGUGGGGAAUAUUGCACAAUGGGCGCAAGCCUGAUGCAGCGACGCCGCGGGGGGGAUGACGGCCUUCGGGUUGUAAACGCCUUUCGCUAGGGACGAAGCUUUUUGUGACGGUACCUAGAGAAGAAGCACCGGCUAACUACGUG
RNAcentral lists this ribosomal RNA (465 nucleotides) under uncultured bacterium. RNAcentral describes it as "partial 16S ribosomal RNA". It matches the Rfam family "Bacterial small subunit ribosomal RNA", at positions 28 to 507 of the family's 1533-position model. The record is from RNAcentral.